This 1480-nucleotide ribosomal RNA is filed under the name uncultured Bordetella sp. Its description in RNAcentral is "partial 16S-23S ribosomal RNA intergenic spacer". It matches the Rfam family "Bacterial small subunit ribosomal RNA". The record is from RNAcentral. Lineage: Bacteria; Pseudomonadati; Pseudomonadota; Betaproteobacteria; Burkholderiales; Alcaligenaceae.
AGUUCGAUCAUGGCUCAGAUUGAACGCUGGCGGGAUGCUUUACAUGCAAGUCGAACGGCAGCACGGACUUCGGUCUGGUGGCGAGUGGCGAACGGGUGAGUAAUGUAUCGGAACGCCCUUAGUAGCGGGGAUAACUACGCGAAAGCGUAGCUAAUACCGCAUACGCCCUUCGGGGGAAAGCGUGGGGACCUUCGGGCCUCGCACUAUUAGAGCGGCCGAUAUCGGAUUAGCUAGUUGGUGGGGUAACGGCUCACCAAGGCGACGAGAUCCGUAGCUGGUUUGAGAGGACGACCAGCCACACUGGGACUGAGACACGGCCCAGACUCCUACGGAGGCAGCAGUGGGGAAUUUUGACAAUGGGGGAAACCUGAUCCAGCCAUCCCGCGUGUGCGAUGAAGGCCUUCGGGUUGUAAAGCACUUUUGGCAGGAAAAGAAACGGCACGGAUAAUACCCCGUGCAACUGACGGUACCUGCAGAAUAAGCACCGGCUAACUACGUGCCAGCAGCCGCGGUAAUACGUAGGGUGCAAGCGUUAACGGAAUUACUGGGCGUAAAGCGUGCGCAGGCGGUUCGGAAAGAAAGAUGUGAAAUCCCAGAGCUUAACUUUGGAACUGCAUUUUUAACUACCGAGCUAGAGUGUGUCAGAGGGAGGUGGAAUUCCGCGUGUAGCAGUGAAAUGCGUAGAUAUGCGGAGGAACACCGAUGGCGAAGGCAGCCUCCUGGGAUAACACUGACGCUCAUGCACGAAAGCGUGGGGAGCAAACAGGAUUAGAUAAUCUCUGGUAGUCCACGCCCUAAACGAUGUCAACUAGCUGUUGGGGCCUUCGGGCCUGGUAGCGCAGCUAACGCGUGAAGUUGACCGCCUGGGGAGUACGGUCGCAGAUUAAAACUCAAAGGAAUUGACGGGGACCCGCACAAGCGGUGGAUGAUGGAUUAAUUGAUGCAACGCGAAAACCUUACCUACCCUUGACAUGUCUGGAAUCCCGAAGAGAUUUGGGGAGUGCUCGCAAGAGAACCGGAACACAGGUGCUGCAUGGCUGUCGUCAGCUCGUGUCGUGAGAUGCUGGGUUAAGUCCCGCAACGAGCGCAACCCUUGUCAUUAGUUGCUACGAAAGGGCACUCUAAUGAGACUGCCGGUGACAAACCGGAGGAAGGUGGGGAUGACGUCAAGUCUCAUGGCCCUUAUGGGUAGGGCUUCACACGUCAUACAAUGGUCGGGACAGAGGGUCGCCAACCCGCGAGGGGGAGCCAAUCCUAGAAACCCGAUCGUAGUCCGGAUCGCAGUCCGCAACCUCGAUCGCGGAAGUCGGAAUCGCUAGUAAUCGCGGAUCAGCAUGUCGCGGUGAAUACGUUCCCGGGUCUUGUACACACUGCCCGUCACACCAUGGGAGUGGGUUUUACCAGAAGUAGUUAGCCUAACCGUAAGGAGGGCGAUUACCACGGUAGGAUUCAUGACUGGGGUGAAGUCGUAACAAGGUAA